Molecule: ribosomal RNA, 253 nt
Filed under: uncultured bacterium
Lineage: Bacteria
Description: partial 16S ribosomal RNA
Rfam family: Bacterial small subunit ribosomal RNA
Source: RNAcentral
UACGUAGGGUGCGAGCGUUAAUCGGAAUUACUGGGCGUAAAGGGUCUGUUGGUGGCCAACUAAGUCAGACGUGAAACCCCUCAGCUUAACUGGGGAACUGCGUCUGAUACUGGAUGGCUUGAGUGUGGGAGAGGAAUGCGGAAUUCCAGGUGUAGCGGUGAAAUGCGUAGAUAUCUGGAGGAACACCGGUGGCGAAGGCGGCAUUCUGGACCAUAACUGACACUGAGAGACGAAAGCCAGGGGAGCAAACAGG